CGGCGCGGAGGCCGUGGACCACUGGCGGCUCGACCUGUCCGGUGUCGCCAAGGCCGACUGGAUCGGCCUGCCGUCGUUCCACGCGCCGAGCUUCGA
RNAcentral lists this transfer RNA (96 nucleotides) under Streptomyces kurssanovii. RNAcentral's name for it is "tRNA-Gly". Lineage: Bacteria; Bacillati; Actinomycetota; Actinomycetes; Kitasatosporales; Streptomycetaceae. The record is from RNAcentral.